CGCCAUGGUUGAAGUUUGCUAAUAUUAUUAUGCAGAAACAGUCGGUUCCUUUGCACAUCUUUUGCUAGCUAGAUUGUUCGAAAAAAAUAUAGAGAUGGAAAAAUGCAACCAUGUAACAUUAAUGUUGGGAGGGUAAUAUUAUGUAGAGAUUCUUGCAUCUGCAUGUUAACUUCAGGUUAACUUUAUUGUCAAUGCAAAUGUAAUUAUGAUCAUGCAUCAACAGGAGCCGUCCUCAUUUUAUUGGAACAUUCAGGUGUCUUUCUCUUGUGUGGUGCUAUUGCUCUAUUGUUUGCAUUGCUAAAGCUUGGUUGUAUAAGAUGUUAUAUCCCAGAAAAAACAUAGAGUGACUCAACUAUACAAAUGUUAUCUGAAUAUUCAGUACAUUCUUCUCUAACUGUUGGUAAAGGUGGUGGUAUUGCUUAUCUGAAUUAACUUAUAUCCAACGGUACAUGCUUCUUUGAAUGUUCGUAAAGCUUGGUGGUAUUUCCAGUUGGUACAGAUAUUUAUGAACGUAGCCAAGGUAAUUAUUGAGAAUUUUACAACUGAUGCAUAUUGUGAUUCCAACUCAUACUUAUGUGCGAAAAAUUUCUACGUUGGUGACUGCAUGUACUAUAUUGGUGCCACAAUAUCACAUGUUUAUGUCAUUUUUUCCUAGGUGAUGAGAAUGUGCCUAGGAUUAGUAAGUUGUUAUAGGCCAGUUGAUUUCGAUUGAUUUGAAAAAUUGUGGACCCAGUCAAAAUCAUGAACGAAAUCUAAUACUUAAUUUCUUAAUGAAAUAAAAUAUCAUAUUUAUUAAAAUAGUUGAGUAAGAGAUUUCUCAAUGACAUAAAAAGAACAUUGUUAAUUAAAAUAAUUGAGUGAAAGAUUGUUGAUCCGUCAAAAUAGAUGACCCAUUUCUAAAUUGAUGACCUUAAUUGAAUAAGAGGCCUCAAAUUAAAAUUCAUGAUAUAGAAUAUAUAUAGAUACGUAAUUUUUAACGUGCGUUGCACGUGCGAGCUAACUAGUUACAAAAAAACUCUAUAGAUGUUUUUGCAACACAUUCUUUGUUGGAAAAAAUAAUAUGUACAUAAGUUCU
This 1075-nucleotide long non-coding RNA is filed under the name Hordeum vulgare. RNAcentral describes it as "long non-coding RNA (HVUL_LNC002944)". The record is from RNAcentral. Lineage: Eukaryota; Viridiplantae; Streptophyta; Magnoliopsida; Poales; Poaceae.